RNAcentral lists this small RNA (29 nucleotides) under Bombyx mori (domestic silkworm). RNAcentral describes it as "ovarian small RNA-5590". The record is from RNAcentral. Lineage: Eukaryota; Metazoa; Arthropoda; Insecta; Lepidoptera; Bombycidae.
UAAAGUAUGACCAAUGGUGCAACCAAGUU